CCCUUCUCUGCGGAAUAUCCUCUGGAAACGGUGAGUAAUACCGCAUACGCCCUUCGGGGGAAAGAUUUAUCGGUGAAGGAUCANCCCGCGUCUGAUUAGAUAGUUGGUGGGGUAACGGCCUACCAAGUCGACGAUCAGUAGCUGGUUUUAGAGGAUGAUCAGCAACACUGGGACUGAGACACGGCCCAGACUCCUACGGGAGGCAGCAGUGGGGAAUCUUAGACAAUGGGCGCAAGCCUGAUCUAGCCAUGCCGCGUGAGUGAUGAAGGCCUUAGGGUCGUAAAGCUCUUUCGCCAGGGAUGAUAAUGACAGUACCUGGUAAAGAAACCCCAGCUAACUCCGUGCCAGCAGCCGCGGUAAUACGGAGGGGGCUAGCGUUGUUCGGAAUUACUGGGCGUAAAGCGCACGUAGGCGGACUAUUAAGUCAGGGGUGAAAUCCCGGGGCUCAACCCCGGAACUGCCUUUGAUACUGGUAGUCUUGAGUUCGAGAGAGGUGAGUGGAA
RNAcentral lists this ribosomal RNA (503 nucleotides) under uncultured bacterium. RNAcentral's name for it is "bacterial SSU rRNA". It matches the Rfam family "Bacterial small subunit ribosomal RNA", at positions 129 to 666 of the family's 1533-position model. The record is from RNAcentral.